Molecule: unclassified non-coding RNA, 1023 nt
Filed under: Hevea brasiliensis (rubber tree)
Lineage: Eukaryota; Viridiplantae; Streptophyta; Magnoliopsida; Malpighiales; Euphorbiaceae
Source: RNAcentral
AACAAAGCAUCUUAAUUAUUUACUCGACAAUGCAACAGCCAAUCAUAUAUAUCCACAUAUCAAUGUACAUGUUUACACAGACCUCCCAUGGACAAAGACUAUCAAAUCAGAUUCAUAAACAGACAGAGAAGGCCAAAGAAAAAGUCAUUUCCUUACCCAUUUUCAUUCAUACACAAUACGUAGAUGCCUCCAUCAUGUUUGGUGUGCAAAUUCAGGCGUCGGCAAGCAGAGACGCAAUUCCAACAGAUGAUACAGUGUUGUCACCACGAGGUUCGCCCGGACAAGCGUGUAUUGCUUUGCAAAUAUCUGUUUGUUCCAGAAUUUUCUCCGAGUUGGCAAGGAUCAGAGGCCCAUAUUCAAAUACCAAUUUCUUGCACUCUUUCACGCGGUACCCGAAAGAGUCACACAUAUUCAGAAGGGUCUGAAGUAUCUCUAUCUGUGUGUCAGGAUCCUUCAACUUAUCCAAUAUUUUUGUAACAGUCUGAUGGCAGAAUUCACAGUUAUGAUCCUGAAUCUGCGAGGAGAUUAUAGUAACUUGCUCACAGAAGCGGACUGAUUGGCAGAUGCUAGCAGGUUCAAUUGAGGAAAUCUCUGAGAAGAAGAGAGGAACAUAGCUGUCCACCAGACUGAUGCACUCCUCCUUGAACACGCCCGCCGCACCACAUGUUUGCCGGAGAAUACCAAUAAUCUCACUCUGGGUCUGGUUAUCUGCAAAAUAUUCAACUGCCUGACUGACCAAAGUCUCACAAAGUUUACAUAUCUUUGGAUUGCUCGAAGCUUCAGAUAAAGCCACAACGUCCUUCUCUCGCUCCAGGUAGCUUAACUCAGAAUCAAAUGAUGCCAAAUUUCUAGCAUCACAAUCCCAAGCAACACCCACCACAAGAAGGAAAACAAUUCCAAACCUCAAAUCCAUAGCGCCUGAUGCCUACCUUUGCUUAGACAACCAGGCUUUGGUUCUCCCUUCUUCAGAGGCGUCCGCAAGAGACGACAGGAUUCCUCUUCUACUAUUGGGUUGAAAAUUAG